Molecule: ribosomal RNA, 879 nt
Filed under: uncultured Planctomycetota bacterium
Lineage: Bacteria; Pseudomonadati; Planctomycetota
Description: bacterial SSU rRNA
Rfam family: Bacterial small subunit ribosomal RNA
Source: RNAcentral
AACGAACGCUGGCGGCGUGGCUAAGACAUGCAAGUCGAACGAACUGGUCAAUUUAUUGAGCAGUUAGUGGCGAAAGGGUUAGUAAUGGAUAGGUAACGUGCCCUGUGCUCCGGAAUAGCGUCGUUCGCCUUCGGGCGAGCUACCGAAAGGGACCGUAAUACCGCGGAACAUCAUGUGUCGAUAGGCAUAUGACAUCAAAGAUUUAUCGGCUCAGGAGCGGCCUAUCUCCUAUCAGCUUGUUGGUGGGGUAAUGGCCUACCAAUGCGGCGACGGGUAGCGGGACUGAGAGGCUGACCCGCAACAUCGGGACUGAGACACUGCCCGGACCUCCACGGAGGGCUGCAGUAACGAAUCUUGCGCAUGGGCGAAAGCCUGACGCAGCGACGCCGCGUGUAGGAGGAAGUCUUUCGGGAUGUAAACUACUGUCAGGGGUAAGAAAGUCCGCUCCGGCGGAUUGAUCUAACCCAAAGGAAGUCACGGCUAACUUCGUGCCAGCAGCCGCGGUAAGACGAAGGUGGCGAGCGUUGUUCGGUGUUACUGGGCUUAAAGAGUGUGUAGGCGGAAAAGUAAGCGUCCUGUGAAAGCCCUCGGCUUAACCGAGGAAUCGCUCGACGAACUGCUUUUCUUGAGGCAAGUAGGGGUGCAUGGAACUCUUGGUGGAGCGGUGGAAUGCGUAGAUAUCAAGAGGAACGCCGGUGGAGAAAUCGGUGCACUGGGCUUGUCCUGACGCUGAGACACGAAAGCGUGGGGAGCGAACGGGAUUAGAUACCCCGGUAGUCCACGCCGUAAACGAUGUCUACUAGGUUGUGGUGGUUCUGACACCAGCACGGCCGAAGCAAAAGUGUUAAGUAGACCGCCUGGGGAGACGGUCGCAAGGCU